This 39-nucleotide ribosomal RNA is filed under the name Parapiptadenia excelsa. RNAcentral describes it as "partial 28S ribosomal RNA". The record is from RNAcentral. Lineage: Eukaryota; Viridiplantae; Streptophyta; Magnoliopsida; Fabales; Fabaceae.
CAGGUCAGGCGGGGCUACCCGCUGAGUUUAAGCAUAUCA